This 498-nucleotide ribosomal RNA is filed under the name uncultured bacterium. RNAcentral describes it as "partial 16S ribosomal RNA". It matches the Rfam family "Bacterial small subunit ribosomal RNA", at positions 29 to 523 of the family's 1533-position model. The record is from RNAcentral.
AUUGAACGCUGGCGGCAUGCUUUACACAUGCAAGUCGAACGGUAACAGGCCGCAAGGUGCUGACGAGUGGCGAGCGGGUGAGUAAUGCAUCGGAACGUGCCCAGUCGUGGGGGAUAACGCAGCGAAAGCUGUGCUAAUACCGCAUACGAUCUAUGGAUGAAAGCGGGGGACCGUAAGGCCUCGCGCGAUUGGAGCGGCCGAUGUCAGAUUAGGUAGUUGGUGGGGUAAAGGCUCACCAAGCCAACGAUCUGUAGCUGGUCUGAGAGGACGACCAGCCACACUGGGACUGGGACACGGCCCAGACUCCUACGGGAGGCAGCAGUGGGGAAUUUUGGACAAUGGGCGCAAGCCUGAUCCAGCAAUGCCGCGUGCAGGAAGAAGGCCUUCGGGUUGUAAACUGCUUUUGUACGGAACGAAAAGGUUUGGGUUAAUACCCUGGGCCGAUGACGGUACCGUAAGAAUAAGCACCGGCUAACUACGUGCCAGCCGCCGCGGUAA